RNAcentral lists this unclassified non-coding RNA (2920 nucleotides) under Bactrocera latifrons. RNAcentral's name for it is "uncharacterized LOC108966543, transcript variant X5". Lineage: Eukaryota; Metazoa; Arthropoda; Insecta; Diptera; Tephritidae. The record is from RNAcentral.
GCUUACGGUGGCGUGUGGCUCGAUUUGCGGUGCGAUUGACGAGUAUUUACGAUUUGUGCACCAGCAAAGAAUUGUAUUCGAUUUGGCGGGUAAACCACAUAAAUAUCGUUUAGCGGCAAACAAACAUCGUUUAAGUCAAAACACGGCUGCGUUGGCUUAGAAGUCGGCUUACAGCAGAAAAUAGUAGCUGUUUGGAAAAUAUAUACAGUUUUAUAAAAAAAAGUGUACUAUGUACCUGUGCGCACUCACUUGAUUCUUUGCCGCAUACAAAGUUUAUGAACUAAGUGACUGCCUCGGCUCAGCUUUCAGUGUAUACAUACAUAUGUAUGUAGACAACGAGUUGAAUAACCGUACGAUAAGUGUGAGUGGAGUGCGGUGUGCUGUCGCUGCGUAGGUAAUGCCUUGUAGACACAAUAUAAUGUUCCAUGAACGAAUAUAGUAAAUAGUGACAUUGUGACAAAAAAAACUUUAAGAAUGUGCGCUCGCAGGUGUGUGGUUUUGUGAAAGUGCCAAGUGAGUAUUUGUUAAAUUGUUAAGAAGCAAAAGAAAUUAUAUUCUAAAAAGUGAAACUUCAACGGAGACGGCAACUACACAAAGUUGCGCAGAACAUAGCUAGUUUGCAGAAAUACCGACAGACAGCUCAAUCUUCAUUGGCGGCGAAGACUAAAAAGCAUCUAAACACUUUCAAAAAGGGAAAUAAAAAAAAAACACCGAAUCUCACAAUGAAACGCCGGAAGCUACUAUUAUGUUGGACCAUCCUACACUCCGGUCUCAGCUUAAUUGCUUUUCUCACAUUACUGCUUAGUAAAACCACACAAGCUGCGAUUGUGCCACCGCCUUGGAGCGAUCCAGAAAAGAAUCCCUGCGCCAGCAUGCCCGGCGGUUGGCAAUUGCUCUACUGGCCGCCGCUUAAACAGUGCUUUAAAAUCUUCACAAUCGGCUACCCGUGCCCGGAGACGAUGGAACUGAGCCCAGCCCCGAAUGUGGGUAAAACGAAAUCGGCGCGCCUUAAUGCACCAGCAGCUGAAUGCCGCUGUCCGCCAGGCACUGCGCUAAGUGCGGAGACGAAUAAAUGUCAUGAGAUAUUUAAACGUGGUCCAUGCGAACAUAGUGCAUACUUUGCGCCAUUACCGGAAGAACGCGCGGCAAUUAGUAGCGGACGAAGAUCCAGCAAUCGUUGGGGCAGCUGUAAAAUGGCCAAACAAUGUCCGGUUGGCAUGAUUUUUUGGCCCAAAGAUGGCAGAUGCUAUGCGCAGUACACGAAAGGGCCUUGUGUUAAAGGCAAGCUGCUGGUAUUGAAUGAAGAUGGACUGGGUGAAUGUAAGUGUGAACCGGAAGGUGUACUGCGUGAUUACUUUUACGAUCCCGAAGAGACCUGCCAUGAACAUUAUACCAAGGGUCCUUGCUCAACACCCGGUGAGCUCUUUCUGCCUGGUGGCCGUUGUGAUUGCCAUCGGCAUUUGCCGCACUACAACGAGGAUCAUCAAAUGUGCUACGAAUUGAACACACCUGGGCCCUGUCCGCCGGGCCAUAUCUUCAAUCUACCAGACAAUUUUACAGUCGCCAACACAGCGACAGAUAUACCGCGCGCACAGUGUCAGUGCAAGGACGGCUAUGUACCCUGGAAUGAUGGACUGUGCUACCGCCUCUACACAAGGGGACCAUGUGGGCCCAACGAAUUUCUAGUUAAUGCAACCAAUUGUGUGCGCAACUUUUGCGGCAAAAGUCGUCUGUAUUUUCCCGAGGAGAAUACAUGCUAUCGCAUUGGUUCUCAAGGUCCGUGCUCAUUGCAUCAGGUGGUCGUAUUCGACUUCACGUCGCGACCCUCGGUCGAUGGCAUUUCUUACAAUGGGAUAUGUGGUUGCUCCGGCGUCAUUUGGAAUCUCGAUCAACAAUGUUCGAAUAUCGAUAAUGGUGGCACAGAAGAUGAGAAUACAUGCGAAUCGACGCCGGGUAUGGUAGAGCUGAAUGGUAAUUGUUAUAAAUUAUAUACGAGAGGACCAUGUGGACCGGGCCAAUGGUUGGAGCCGGUCAAAACACAUACACUCGGUUCGCAAACGCAACGCUUUUUAGAUACGAAGGCGAAAUGUGUCUGUCGGCCCGGCUAUACUCUCGCCGAGAAUGCUGGCGAGGAUGAGCAAAAUUUACCACGUGCGCGCAUAACACGCUGCAAUGCGCCCACGGUGGGAUUAGCGAGGUAUUUGAAUAAGCAACGUGAAAAUUCGAAAUUCAAUACAAAUUUUAAUUUUCCCAACUUUCAAUUUUGAAACUAACAAUGUCAGCCUUUCAUUUGCCUAAGUAUGUAUGUAUGUAAAUAUAUUAAAUUUAAGAUGAACUGAGCGCUGUAAACUUUGCUGCAUACAAACUUUUUUCAAUUUGUUAUAUAACUAUUUUGUUAAACUUUCAACUCUUCUAUUGUAAAUUUUUUCAAAUUAACUGUGUAAAUAGACAUUCUAUUCAGCUAUUCAGCACUUAUUUGGGUCCUAUAUAUAUUGUAUAUAUGUCAAUAUCUAUAUGUAUAUAUGUAUUUAAAUGAUUCAAUAUUUACAACGCUCUGAACUAUAAAUGUGGCUCUUUGGUGCAUGCCAACCUCUGCUCAACUAUCCUGCUCUCUUGCCAACUGUUUAUAUACAACAUAACUACAACAACUCUCUGUGCCUGCGUCUGUUCCUCAGCAUGCCCGCAUGUUUGCCUUCAUAAUCGAUAAUUCUUACAUGGUUUUUAGAAAUUUUCGGAUAGCACGGAUAAAUCAAACAUAAUAGAAGGCAUAAAAUUUAGGCAUUAAAUUAAUUGUAAAUUAAAACGAAAAUUUGAUGUAAACAUUAAACACUUAAGAUAAUCAAGAAAUUAUAAUUAAUUCGAAAAACUAUCUAGUAGUUUAAGUAAGCAACAUAUUGUUACUGUGUGUUUGAGAUUUCUG